Molecule: ribosomal RNA, 1079 nt
Filed under: Eucera macrognatha
Lineage: Eukaryota; Metazoa; Arthropoda; Insecta; Hymenoptera; Apidae
Description: eukaryotic LSU rRNA
Rfam family: Eukaryotic large subunit ribosomal RNA
Source: RNAcentral
AGAUCGAAUGGGGAGAUUCAUCGUCAACAGCGCUGGCUCCCGUUGGUGCGCGAUGCCCCGAAUGGGCCCUUGUGGUUCCACGGCGAGGGCACGCCACCUUCGGCUUGAAUGUUCCGGUGCCGUAGUCGUGCACUUCUCCCCUAGUAGAACGUCGCGACCCGUUGUGUGUCGGUCUACGGCCCGAGAGGGCGCCUGUCGCGUCGCCUUGUGCGCACUCGUCAGACCCUCGGUCGCCCGGCCGGCUACACGACGGUACUCGCACGGUAUCGGGCCGCAACCAAUCCAUUCUCGAAUGGCGUUUGCGUCAGGUCCGCCGCAAGCUCGGUUAGUUCUUACCCGGUGGUACGGACCUCGUGCCGUCCCCGGGCCUAACCAGCUGUUAGCAGGCGGUGUCCUCGGACUGGCCAAGCUUCGAAUUACCGGUCGGCGACGCUAUUGCUUUGGGUACUCUCAGGACCCGUCUUGAAACACGGACCAAGGAGUCUAACAUGUGCGCGAGUCAUUGGGAUGCACAAACCUAAAGGCGAAAUGAAAGUGAAGGUCGUCCAUAGCGUCGACCGAGGGAGGAUGGGCCGCGUAACCAGGCGGCCUCGCACUCCCGGGGCGUCUCGUUCUCAUCGCGAGAAGAGGCGCACCCAGAGCGUACACGUUGGGACCCGAAAGAUGGUGAACUAUGCCUGGUCAGGACGAAGUCAGGGGAAACCCUGAUGGAGGUCCGUAGCGAUUCUGACGUGCAAAUCGAUCGUCGGAACUGGGUAUAGGGGCGAAAGACUAAUCGAACCAUCUAGUAGCUGGUUCCCUCCGAAGUUUCCCUCAGGAUAGCUGGCACUCGCUAGAACGCGGUGCGAGUCUCAUCUGGUAAAGCGAAUGAUUAGAGGCCUUGGGGCCGAAACGACCUCAACCUAUUCUCAAACUUUAAAUGGGUGAGAUCUCUGGCUUGCUUGAACAGUGAAGCCAUGAGAUUUUGGAUCAGAGUGCCAAGUGGGCCAAUUUUGGUAAGCAGAACUGGCGCUGUGGGAUGAACCAAACGCAGAGUUAAGGCGCCUAAGUCGACGCUUAUGGGAUACCAUGAAAGGCGU